GCCCGAGCCGCGUUGCGCCGCCCCCAGUGCGACCGCCUCCCCCUCCCGAUCGCGUCACACUCAAGGUCCAAAGAUGGUGUGCGCACUUGUCUGUGGUCAUUUCCCAUUAUAAUGAAUGGGAGGCGCAGUUUCUACCAAAACACUCGCUGCAGACAAACUCCAUGUCCUAUUUGAAAAAAGUCUGGACCAUGAGUGAGGGCACAAACACAGCUAGGAUAUAUCCAAACGGCAAGUUGCUCCUCGUUACGGUGUUGCCGGGAGAGCGAUGCGAUUGAGCCAUUGAGUGAUGGGCAGGAAAAACUUGACUGUUUCUCCUGCCAUGGGGGAUGGGGGAUGGGAGGGGGGGAAGGGAUGUGGAUUCUUUUAAGAAUGUGGAUAUUUGGGUCAUCUUUGGCGCCCCCUAGAACGUAAACCGUGGGGUGCAGCGUCAUGAUUUUUAAAACUUUGAAUGGCCAUGGGGUGUAGAUUGGCCUGAGCAAAUUUGGUGUCAGUGGGACGAAAGCCUUAGGAGGAGUUAGCCACAUUCCAAUGUGUGCUAAUCGGCAAAAAAUGCAAAAUAGCCCUUUAACCGUACAUUUUACAGAUACGCGCGCAUUGACUUUUUCGUAGAUCUUAUUGAGAUACAUGUGUGUGUCAAAUUUUGUGUCAAUAUGACAAAGCAUACAGGUAUGACAGUCAACAAUGUGUAUUUUCACCUUAUGGGACAAUAAAAAAUGGACUUUUUUCUCCUGCCAUGGGGGGGCGCUCUUUUAGGGAGUAAAAAUUCCUUCACAAAUGUGUUGAUGGCUGGACAUUGCAUCAUCCUAGAAAACUUGGAGGCCAGAGAGGACAAAAAUAAAAAGUUAUAAGACUUUUAAAUAUGUGGAUUUUAGGGUUAUCUUUGGCGCCCCCUAGAACCUAAACCGUGGGGUGCAGCGUCAUGAUUUGAAUAACUUUUAAUGGCCAUGGGGUGUAAUUUGGCCUGAGCAAAUGUGGUGCCGGUUGAACGAAAGCCUUCGGAGGAGUUAGCGAAAUUCCAAUGUGUGCGGAUCGGCAAAAAAUGCGCAAUAACCCUUUAACCGUACAUUUGACAGAUACGCCCGCACUGACUUUUUUGUAGAUCUUAUUGAGAUACAUGUGUGUGUCAAUUUUUGUGUAAUUUUGACAAAGCGUACAGGCGUGACAGUCAAUAGUGUGAAUUUUCACCUUAGGGGACAAGAAAAAAUGGACUUUUUUCUCCUGCCAUGGGGGGGCGCUCUUUUGGGGAGUAAAAAUUCCUUCACAAAUGUGUUGAUGGCUGGACAUUGCAUCAUCCUAGAAAACUUGGAGGCCAGUGAGGACAAAAAUAAAAAGUUAUAAGACUUUUAAAUAUGUGGAUUUUAGGGUUAUCUUUGGCGCCCCCUAGAACGUAAACCGUGGGGUGCAGCGUCAUGAUUUUUAAAACUUUGAAUGGCCAUGGGGUGUAGAUUGGCCUGAGCAAAUUUGGUGUCAGUGGGACGAAAGCCUUAGGAGGAGUUAGCCACAUUCCAAUGUGUGCUAAUCGGCAAAAAAUGCAAAAUAGCCCUUUAACCGUACAUUUUACAGAUACGCGCGCAUUGACUUUUUCGUAGAUCUUAUUGAGAUACAUGUGUGUGUCAAAUUUUGUGUCAAUAUGACAAAGCAUACAGGUAUGACAGUCAACAAUGUGUAUUUUCACCUUAUGGGACAAUAAAAAAUGGACUUUUUUCUCCUGCCAUGGGGGGGCGCUCUUUUAGGGAGUAAAAAUUCCUUCACAAAUGUGUUGAUGGCUGGACAUUGCAUCAUCCUAGAAAACUUGGAGGCCAGAGAGGACAAAAAUAAAAAGUUAUAAGACUUUUAAAUAUGUGGAUUUUAGGGUUAUCUUUGGCGCCCCCUAGAACCUAAACCGUGGGGUGCAGCGUCAUGAUUUGAAUAACUUUUAAUGGCCAUGGGGUGUAGAUUGGCCUGAGCAAAUGUGGUGCCGGUUGAACGAAAGCCUUCGGAGGAGUUAGCGAAAUUCCAAUGUGUGCGGAUCGGCAAAAAAUGCGCAAUAACCCUUUAACCGUACAUUUGACAGAUACGCCCGCACUGACUUUUUUGUAGAUCUUAUUGAGAUACAUGUGUGUGUCAAUUUUUGUGUAAUUUUGACAAAGCGUACAGGCGUGACAGUCAAUAGUGUGAAUUUUCACCUUAUGGAACAAGAAAAAAUGGACUUUUUUCUCCUGCCAUGGGGGGGCGCUCUUUUGGGGAGUAAAAAUUCCUUCACAAAUGUGUUGAUGGCUGGACAUUGCAUCAUCCUAGAAAACUUGGAGGCCAGUGAGGGCAAAAAUAAAAAGUUAUAAGACUUUGAAAUAUGUGGAUUUUAGGGUUAUCUUUGGCGCCCCCUAGAACAUAAACCGUGGGGUGCAGCGUCAUGAUUUGAAUAACUUUUAAUGGCCAUGGGGUGUAGAUUGGCCUGAGCAAAUGUGGUGCCGGUGGAACGAAAGCCUUCGGAGGAGUUAGCGAAAUUCCAAUGUGUGCGGAUCGGCAAAAAAUGCGAAAUAACCCUUUAACCGUACAUUUGACAGAUACGCCCGCACUGACUUUUUUAUAGAUCUUAUUGAGAUACAUGUGUGUUUCAAUUUUUGUGUCAUUUUGACAAAGCGUACAGGCGUCAGGUGAAUUUUUCACCUUAGGGGGCGCUAUGGAGCCAUUUUGCAUUGUAUUGUUUGGGCGACUUCAGAAUAUCAAAUUUUUCACCAGGCCCGGUCGUCCUGCCAAAUUUCAUGAGUUUUCGCCAGUGGGAAGUGGGCCAUUUUCCAGUUCAAAGGGGAGGAAAAAUAAUAACUAGGGCCCCGUUGGGGCACUGUCGGGCCCGAGCCGCGUUGCGCCGCCCCCAGCGCGACCGCCUCCCCCUCCCGAUCGCGUCACACUCAAGGUCCAAAGAUGGUGUGCGCACUUGUCUGUGGUCAUUUCCCAUUAUAAUGAAUGGGAGGCGCAGUUUCUACCAAAACACUCGCUGCAGACAAACUACAUGUCCUAUUUGAAAAAAGUCUGAUCCAUGAGUGAGGGCACAAACACAGCUAGGAUAUAUCCAAAUGGCAAGUUGCUCCUCCUUUCGGAGGAGUUUGAACACAUGACAUGUGUUUGAGCCAUUGAGCGAUGGGCAGGAAAAACUUGACUUUUUCUCCUGCCAUGGGGGGGGGGCGCUCUUUUGGGGAGUAAAAAUUCCUUCACAAAUGUGUUGAUGGCUAGACAUUGCAUCAGCCUAGAAAACUUGGAAGCCAGUGAGGACAAAAAUGAAAAGUUAUAAGACUUUUAAGAAUGUGGAUUUUUGGGUUAUCUUUGGCGCCCCCUAGAACGUAAACCGUGGGGUGCAGCGUCAUGAUUUGUACAACUUUUAAUGGCCAUGGGGUGUAGAUUGGCCUGAGCAAAUGUGGUGCCGGUGGAACGAAAGCUUUAGGAGGAGUUAGCCACAUUCCAAUGUGUGCGAAUCGAUCAAAAAUGCGUAAUAGCCCUUUAACCGUACAUUUUACAGAUACGUGCGCAUUGACUUUUUCGUAGAUCUUAUUGAGAUACACGUGAUUGUCAAAUUUUGUUUCAAUAUGACAAAGCGUACAGGCGUGACACUCAACAAUGUGUAUUUUCACCUUAUGGGACAAGAAAAAAUGGACUUUUUUCUCCUGCCAUGGGGGGGCGCUCUUUUGGGGAGUAAAAAUUCCUUCACAAAUGUGUUGAUGGCUGGACAUUGCAUCAUCCUAGAAAACUUGGAGGCCAGUGAGGACAAAAAUAAAAAGUUAUAAGACUUUUAAGACUGUGGAUUUUUGGGUUAUUUUUGGCGCCCCCUAGAACGUAAACCGUGGGGUGCAGCGUCAUGAUUUGUACAACUUUUAAUGGCCAUGGGGUGUAGAUUGGCCUGAGCAAAUGUGGUGCCGGUGGAACGAAAGCUUUAGGAGGAGUUAGCCACAUUCCAAUGUGUGCGAAUCAAUCAAAAAUGCGUAAUAGCCCUUUAACCGUACAUUUUACAGAUACGUGCGCAUUGACUUUUUCGUAGAUCUUAUUGAGAUACACGUGAUUGUCAAAUUUUGUUUCAAUAUGACAAAGCGUACAGGCGUGACACUCAACAAUGUGUAUUUUCACCUUAUGGGACAAGAAAAAAUGGACUUUUUUCUCCUGCCAUGGGGGGGCGCUCUUUUGGGGAGUAAAAAUUCCUUCACAAAUGUGUUGAUGGCUGGACAUUGCAUCAUCCUAGAAAACCUGGAGGCCAGUGAGGACAAAAAUAAAAAGUUAUAAGACUUUUAAGACUGUGGAUUUUUGGGUUAUUUUUGGCGCCCCCUAGAACGUAAACCGUGGGGUGCAGCGUCAUGAUUUGUACAACUUUUAAUGGCCAUGGGGUGUAGAUUGGCCUGAGCAAAUUUGGUGCCGGUGGAACGAAAGCCUUCGGAGGAGUUAGCGAAAUUCCAAUGUGUGCGGUUCCGCAAAAAAUGCAAAAUAGCCCUUUAACCGUAUAUUUGACAGAUACGUGCGCAUUGACUUUUUCGUAGAUCUUAUUGAGAUACACGUGAUUGUCAAAUUUUGUUUCAAUAUGACAAAGCGUACAGGCGUGACACUCAACAAUGUGUAUUUUCACCUUAUGGGACAAGAAAAAAUGGACUUUUUUCUCCUGCCAUGGGGGGGCGCUCUUUUGGGGAGUAAAAAUUCCUUCACAAAUGUGUUGAUGGCUGGACAUUGCAUCAUCCUAGAAAACCUGGAGGCCAGUGAGGACAAAAAUAAAAAGUUAUAAGACUUUUAAGACUGUGGAUUUUUGGGUUAUUUUUGGCGCCCCCUAGAACGUAAACCGUGGGGUGCAGCGUCAUGAUUUGUACAACUUUUAAUGGCCAUGGGGUGUAGAUUGGCCUGAGCAAAUUUGGUGCCGGUGGAACGAAAGCCUUCGGAGGAGUUAGCGAAAUUCCAAUGUGUGCGGUUCCGCAAAAAAUGCAAAAUAGCCCUUUAACCGUACAUUUGACAGAUACGUGCGCAUAGACUUUUUUGUAGAUCUUAUUGAGAUACACGUGUGUGUCAAAUUUUAUUUCAAUAUGACAAAGCGUAUAGGCGUGACACUCAACAAUAUGUAUUUUCACCUUAGGGGACAAGAAAAAAUGGACUUUUUUCUCCUGCCAUGGGGGGGCGCUCUUUUGGGGAGUAAAAAUUCCUUCACAAAUGUGUUGAUGGCUGGUCAUUGCAUCAUCCUAGAAAACUUGGAGGCCAGUGAGGGCAAAAAUAAAAAGUUAUUAGACUUUUAAGAAUGUGGAUUUUUGGGUUAUCUUUGGCGCCCCCUAGAACGUAAACCGUGGGGUGCAGCGUCAUGAUUUGUACAACUUUUAAUGGCCAUGGGGUGUAGAUUGGCCUGAGCAAAUUUGGUGCCGGUGGAAUGAAAGCCUUCGGAGGAGUUAGCGAAAUUCCAAUGUGUGCGGUUCCGCAAAAAAUGCAAAAUAGCCCUUUAACCGUACAUUUGACAGAUACGUGCGCAUAGACUUUUUUGUAGAUCUUAUUGAGAUACACGUGUGUGUCAAAUUUUGUGUCAUUUUGACAAAGCGUACAGGUGUGACACUCAAUCAUGUGAAUUUUUCACCUAAGGGGGCGCUAUGGAGCCAUUUUGCAUUUGAUUGUUUGGGCGACUUCAGAAUAUCGAAUUUUUCACCAGGCCCGGUCGUCCUGCCAAAUUUCAUGAGUUUUCACCAGUGGGAAGUGGGCCAUUUUCUAGUUCAAAGGGGCAGAAAAAUAACAAGAAGACUAGGGCCCCGUUGGGGCACUGGCGGGCCCGAGCCGUGUCACGCCGCCCCCAGCACGACCGCCUCCCCCACCCGAUCGCGUCACACUCAAGGUCCAAAGAUGGUGUGCGCACUUGUUUGUGGUCAUUUACCAUUAUAAUGAACGGGAGGCGCAGUUUCUACCAAAACGCUCGCUGCAGAAAAACUCCAUGUCCUAUUUGAAAAAAGUCUGGACCAUGAGUGAGGGCACAAACACAGCUAAGAUAUAUCCAAAUGGCAAGUUGCUCCUCCUUUCGCUUUUGCCGAGAGAGCAGUGCGUUUGAGCCAUUGAAUGAUGAACAGGAAAAACUUGACUUUAUUCUCCUGCCAUGGGGGGCGCUCUUUUAACGAGAAAAAACUCCUUCACAAAUGUGUUGAUGGCUGGACAUUGCAUCAUCCUAGAAAACAUGGAGGCCAGUGAGGACAAAAAUAAAAAGUUAUAAGACUUUUAAAUAUGUGGAUUUUAGGGUUAUCUUUGGCGCCCCCUAGAACCUAAACCGUGGGGUGCAGCGUCAUGAUUUGAAUAACUUUUAAUGGCCAUGGGGUGUAGAUUGGCCUGAGCAAAUGUGGUGCCGGUGGAACGAAAGCCUUCGGAGGAGUUAGCGAAAUUCCAAUGUGUGCGAAUCUGCAAAAAAUGCGAAAUAACCCUUUAACCGUACAUUUUACAGAUACGUGGCCAUUGACUUUUUCGAAGAUCUUAUUGAAAGACACGUGUAUGUAAAAUUUUGUGUCAAUACGACAAAACAUACAGGCGUAGCACUCAACAAUGUGUAUUUUCACCUUAGUGGACAAGAAAAAAUGGACUUUUUUCUCCUGCCAUGGGGGGCGCUCUUUUGGCGAGUAAAAAUUCCUUCACAAAUGUGUUGAUGGCUGGACAUUGCAUCAUCCUAGAAAACUUGGAGGCCAGUGGGGACAAAAAUAAAAAGUUAUAAGACUUUUAAAUAUGUGGAUUUUACGGUUAUCUUUGGCGCCCCCUAGAACCUAAACCGUGGGGUGCAGCGUCAUGAUUUGAAUAACUUUUAAUGGCCAUGGGGUGUAGAUUGGCCUGAGAAAAUGUGGUGCCGGUGGAACGAAAGCCUUCGGAGGAGUUAGCGAAAUUCCAAUGUGUGCGGAUCGGCAAAAAAUGCGGAAUAACCCUUUAACCGUACAUUUGACAGAUACGUGCGCAUUGACUUUUUUGUAGAUCUUAUUGAGAUACAUGUGUGUCUCAAUUUUGGUGUCAUUUUGCCAAAGCGUACAGGUGUUACACUCAACAAUGUGUAUUUUCACCUUAGGGGACAAGAAAAAAUGGACUUUUUUCUCCUGCCAUGGGGGGGCGCUCUUUUGGGGAGUAAAAAUUCCUUCACAAAUGUGUUGAUGGCUGGACAUUGCAUCAUCCUAGAAAACUUGGAGGCCAGUGAGGGCAAAAAUAAAAAGUUAUAAGACUUUUAAAUAUGUGGAUCUUAGGGUUAUCUUUGGCGCCCCCUAGAACCUAAACCGUGGGGUGCAGCGUCAUGAUUUGAAUAACUUUUAAUGGCCAUGGGGUGUAGAUUGGCCUGAGCAAAUGUGGUGCCGGUGGAACGAAAGCCUUCGGAGGAGUUAGCGAAAUUCCAAUGUGUGCGGAUCGGCAAAAAAUGCGAAAUAACCCUUUAACCGUACAUUUGACAGAUACGCCCGCACUGACUUUUUUGUAGAUCUUAUUGAGAUACAUGUGUGUGUCAAUUUUUGUGUCAUUUUGACAAAGCGUACAGGCGUGACAGUCAAUAGUGUGAAUUUUCACCUUAGGGGGCGCUAUGGAGCCAUUUUGCAUUUUCUUGUUUGGGCGACUUCGGAAUAUCAAAUUUUUCACCAGGCCCGGUCGUCCUGCCAAAUUUCAUGAGUUUUCGCCAGUGGGAAGUGGGCCAUUUUCCAGUUCAAAGGGGAGGAAAAAUAAUAACUAGGGCCCCGUUGGGGCACUGGCGGGCCCGAGCCGUGUCACGCCGCCCCCAGCGCGACCGCCUCCCUCACCCGAUCGCGUCACACUCAAGGUCCAAAGAUGGUGUGCGCACUUGUUUGUGGUCAUUUACCAUUAUAAUGAACGGGAGGCGCAGUUUCUACCAAAACGCUCGCUGCAGAAAAACUCCAUGUCCUAUUUGAAAAAAGUCUGGACCAUGAGUGAGGGCACAAACACAGCUAAGAUAUAUCCAAAUGGCAAGUUGCUCCUCCUUUCGCUUUUGCCGAGAGAGCAGUGCGUUUGAGCCAUUGAAUGAUGAACAGGAAAAACUUGACUUUAUUCUCCUGCCAUGGGGGGCGCUCUUUUAAAGAGAAAAAACUCCUUCACAAAUGUGUUGAUGGCUGGACAUUGCAUCAUCCUAGAAAACAUGGAGGCCAGUGAGGACAAAAAUAAAAAGUUAUAAGACUUUUAAAUAUGUGGAUUUUAGGGUUAUAUUUGGCGCCCCCUAGAACCUAAACCGUGGGGUGCAGCGUCAUGAUUUGAAUAACUUUUAAUGGCCAUGGGGUGUAGAUUGGCCUGAGCAAAUGUGGUGCCGGUGGAACGAAAGCCUUCGGAGGAAUUAGCGAAAUUCCAAUGUGUGCGAAUCUGCAAAAAAUGCGAAAUAACCCUUUAACCGUACAUUUUACAGAUACGUGGCCAUUGCCUUUUUCGAAGAUCUUAUGUAAAUACACGUGUAUGUAAAAUUUUGUGUCAAUACGACAAAACAUACAGGCGUAGCACUCAACAAUGUGUAUUUUCACCUUAGUGGACAAGAAAAAAUUGACUUUUUUCUCCUGCCAUGGGGGGGCGCUCUUUUGGGGAGUAAAAAUUCCUUCACAAAUGUGUUGAUGGCUGGACAUUGCAUCAUCCUAGAAAACUUGGAGGCCAGUGGGGACAAAAAUAAAAAGUUAUAAGACUUUUAAAUAUGUGGAUUUUACGGUUAUCUUUGGCUCCCCCUAGAACCUAAACCGUGGGGUGCAGCGUCAUGAUUUGAAUAACUUUUAAUGGCCACGGGGUGUAGAUUGGCCUGAGCAAAUGUGGUGCCGGUGGAACGAAAGCCUUCGGAGGAGUUAGCGAAAUUCCAAUGUGUGCGGAUCGGCAAAAAAUGCGGAAUAACCCUUUAACCGUACAUUUGACAGAUACGCGCGCAUUGACUUUUUCGUAGAUCUUAUUGAGAUACAUGUGUGUGUCAAUUUUUGUGUCAUUUUGCCAAAGCGUACAGGUGUUACACUCAACAAUGUGUAUUUUCACCUUAGGGGACAAGAAAAAAUGGACUUUUUUCUCCUGCCAUGGGGGGGCGCUCUUUUGGGGAGUAAAAAUUCCUUCACAAAUGUGUUGAUGGCUGGACAUUGCAUCAUCCUAGAAAACUUGGAGGCCAGUGAGGGCAAAAAUAAAAAGUUAUAAGACUUUUAAAUAUGUGGAUCUUAGGGUUAUCUUUGGCGCCCCCUAGAACCUAAACCGUGGGGUGCAGCGUCAUGAUUUGAAUAACUUUUAAUGGCCAUGGGGUGUAGAUUGGCCUGAGCAAAUGUGGUGCCGGUGGAACGAAAGCCUUCGGAGGAGUUAGCGAAAUUCCAAUGUGUGCGGAUCGGCAAAAAAUGCGAAAUAACCCUUUAACCGUACAUUUGACAGAUACGCCCGCACUGACUUUUUUGUAGAUCUUAUUGAGAUACAUGUGUGUGUCAAUUUUUGUGUCAUUUUGACAAAGCGUACCGGCGUGACAGUCAAUAGUGUGAAUUUUCACCUUAGGGGGCGCUAUGGAGCCAUUUUGCAUUUUCUUGUUUGGGCGACUUCGGAAUCUCAAAUUUUUCACCAGGCCCGGUCGUCCUGCCAAAUUUCAUGAGUUUUCGCCAGUGGGAAGUGGGCCAUUUUCCAGUUCAAAGGGGAGGAAAAAUAAUAAUAAUAAUAACAAACUAGGGCCCCGUUGGGGCACUGGCGGGCCCGAGCUGUGUCGCGCCCCCCCCCCCCCAACGCGCUGCCUCCCCGUCCCAUUCGCGUCCUCUGGCCAUCGUCCUCUCUGGUAACGCCCAUCACUGCAAAGACCCUUUUCCUUCAUCGGCGUUUGCUGUUCUUCCUGCCAGUGCGUGUUGCUUUCACUUACACUUGCCACAGCCAGCCUCGUGAGUGCCUAGCCUAUUGGAUAUCACUGUCACCUACACAGGACAGUCAUUACCUUUCUAUUAAUACUUUGUUUUUUAAUUUCACAUUAAUUUCCAUAUUGUAUAAACGACUGGAAAAAACUUGAGCCCCUGCCCCUGUAUAAUCAUGUGCACGUCCCUGUUCUCGCUCCAAGGUGAAUCUUCACUGCUCAUGUUCUCCUCAGAAGCACUCACCUCACUCCCCUCAGGUAACUGUACACAUGCACCAACUGCCUGCUUCAGGUUUGGAUGGAGCUUCAUGGUUGUCUUUUGGAGAAAUGACCAGUCAAGUUGUGUUUGAAAUUUGAUUUUUUUCAGGGGCAAAAGGAGCCUCUGCAUUGUUGUCAAAUAUGUAAAUAGCAUGUUUUUGCAGGUGCUAAAAAACAGACUCUGAGUGUGUGUGUGUGUGUGUGUGUGUGUGUGUGUGUGUGUGUGUGUGUGUGUGUGUGUGUGUGUGUGUCUGUGUUUGUGUGUGUCUGUGUGUGUGUAUCCUGCAGUACUCUGUACUCCUGCAGUGGCCAAAACGACUUUUAAGAAUGUGGAUAUUUGGGUCAUCUUUGGCGCCCCCUAGAACGUAAACCAUGGGGUGCAGCGGCAUGAUUUUUACAACUUUGAAUGGCCAUGGGAUGUAGAUCGGCUUGAGCAAAUUUGGUGUCGGUGGGAAGAAAGCCUUAGGAGGAGUUAGCCACAUUCCAAUGUGUGCGAAUCUGCAAAAAAUGCGAAAUAGCCCUUUAACCAUACAUUUUACAGAUACGUGCCCAUUGACUUUUUCGUAGAUCUUAUUGAGAUACACGUGAUUGUCAAAUUUUGGGUCAAUAUGACAAAGCGUAUAGGCGUGACACUCAACAAUGUGUAUUUUCACCUUAGGGGACAAGAAAAAAUGGACUUUUUUCUCCUGCCAUGUGGGGGCGCUCUUUUGGGGAGUAAAAAUUCCUUCACAAAUGUGUUGAUGGCUGGACAUUGCAUCAUCCUAGAGAACUUGGAGGCCAGUGAGGACAAAAAUAAAAAGUUAUAAGACUUUUAAGACUGUGGAUUUUUGGGUUAUCUUUGGCGCCCCCUAGAACGUAAACUGUGGGGUGCAGCGUCAUGAUUUGUACAACUUUUAAUGGCCAUGGGGUGUAGAUUGGCCUGAGCAAAUGUGGUGCUGGUGGAACGAAUGCCUUCGGAGGAGUUAGCGAAAUUCCAAUGUGUGCAGAUCGGCAAAAAAUGCGAAAUAACCCUCUAACAUUACAUUUCACAGAUGCGCCCGCGCUGACUUUUUCGUAGAACGUAUUGAGAUACACGUGUGUGUCAAUUUUUGUGUCAAUAUGACAAAGCGUACAGGCGUGACAGUCAAUAGUGUGAAUUUUCGCCUUAGGGGGCGCUAUGGAGCCAUUUUGCAUUUUAUUGUUUGGGCGACUUCAGAAUAUCGAAUUUUUCACCAGGCCCGGUCGUCCUGCCAAAUUUCAUGAGUUUUCGCCAGUGGGAAGUCGGCCAUUUUCCAGUUUAAAGCGGAGGAAAAAUAAUAAUAACAAGAAAAAAUGGACUUUUUUCUCCGGCCAUGGGGGGGCGCUCUUUUGGGGAGUAAAAAUUCCUUCACAAAUGUGUUGAUGGCUGGACAUUGCAUCAUCCUAGAAAACUUGGAGGCCAGUGAGGGCAAAAAUAAAAAGUUAUAAGACUUUUAAAUAUGUGGAUUUUAGGGUUAUCUUUGGCGCCCCCUAGAACCUAAACCGUGGGGUGCAGCGUCAUGAUUUGAAUAACUUUUAAUGGCCAUGGGGUGUAGAUUGGCCUGAGCAAAUGUGGUGCCGGUGGAAAGAAAGCCUUCGGAGGAGUUAGCGAAAUUCCAAUGUGUGCGGAUCGGCAAAAAAUGCGGAAUAACCCUUUAACCGUACAUUUGACAGAUACGCCCGCACUGACUUUUUUGUAGAUCUUAUUGAGAUACAUAUGUGUGUCAAUUUUUGUGUCAUUUUGACAAAGCGUAAAGGCGUGACAGUCAAUAGUGUGAAUUUUCACCUUAGGGGGCGCUAUGGAGCCAUUUUGCAUUUUCUUGUUUGGGCGACUUCGGAAUAUCAAAUUUUUCACCAGGCCCGGUCAUCCUGCCAAAUUUCAUGAGUUUUCGCCAGUGGGAAGUGGGCCAUUUUCCAGUUCAAAGGGGAGGAAAAAGAAGAAAGAAAGAAACAAAGAAAAACCACUUGGGGAAUAAUAGGGCUCUCGCAGCUGCUUAGCAGCUACGCUCGGGCCCUAACUAGGACCCCGUUGGGGCACUGGCGGGCCCGAGCUGUGUCGCGUCCCCCCCCCCAACGUGCUGCCUCCCCGUCCCAUUCGCGUCCUCUGGCCAUCGCCCUCUCUGGUAACGCCCAUCACUGCAAAGACCCUUUUCCUUCAUCGGCGUUUGCUGUUCUUCCUGCCAGUGCGUGUUGCUUUCACUUACACUUGCCACAGCCAGCCUCGUGAGUGCCUAGCCUAUUGGAUAUCACUGUCACCUACACAGGACAGUCAUUACCUUUCUAUUAAUACUUUGUUUUUUAAUUUCACAUUAAUUUCCAUAUUGUAUAAACAACUGGAAAAAACUUGAGCCCCUGCCCCUGUAUAAUCAUGUGCACGUCUCUGUUCUAGCUCUAAGGUGAAUCUUCACUGCUCAUGUUCUCCUCAGAAGCAGUCACCUCACUCCCCUCAGGUUACUGUACACAUGCACCAACUGCCUGCUUCAGGUUUGGAUGGAGCUUCAUGGUUGUCUUUUGGAGAAAUGACCAGUCAAGUUGUGUUUGAAAUCUGAUUUUUUUCAGGGGCAAAAGGAGCCUCUGCAUUCUUGUCAAAUAUGUAAAUAGCAUGUUUUUGCAGGUGCUAAAAACCAGACUCUGGGUUUGUGUGUGUGCGUGUGUGUGUGUGUGUGUCUGUGUGUGUGUGUGUGUGUGUGUGUGUGUGUGUGUGUGCCUUCAAGUCACACGACAUAUUUAACCGGAUGUAGCUGCAAGACGGAGCCUCAUUGACUCUCCGUUUCAACUUAUCUCAAAAGUGAGGACCUCAACCUAUAUACCAGUUUUUAAAUUGUGUUGAUAGGCCAAAUAAAACCAGUUAUGAUAAAUUAUGUCCGCGAUACUUGUUUUCAGCUUAUUUUGAUCACGUUCGGCGCUCGAUCGCGCUGUAUGAGACAGGAAAACAUAGCAUGCAGACAUUAGCGACAGGUCUUACAGCGGAAAAGGCUUGCCAAAGGAAAAAAAAAACACACCACAACAUCUCUCCUAUUGGUGGAAAACUUCACCACAACAACCAAUCCAAAAUUAUAUGGUGACUGAUUGACAAGGGGCGGGCGCUUACGUUCUUCCUGCAAUAUGAGAAGGGAGGGAGGGACUCUCAGCAGGGAUGCAGUCUGGGACACGUAGUUGCAAACCUAGCGACUUUGUUGUUAGAUUCAAUGACUUUUCAGACCCCCUAACGACUUUUUUUUAGAAAGAAAGUGACUUUUAUCGACUUCUUCUGGAGUUUAGAGACUCUGACAUGAAGCAGGCUUUCCUUACUGAGGAGUUAGCAACGCUGCUAAGGGUGCAGAGCCACACAUGCGCUCCGAGCUCUGCAUGGGAGACUGAAGCUGACAGAGCUGCAGCAGUUAGCAGGUUUCACCCUCAGAGACCACCAGGGGUUCAUGUUGAGGCAUUUUCAGUUGUUUUUUUUUUUUUUUGCCAUAGACACUGUCAGCACAAUCUGCAGUUACACUAACAAAAAUGCUGCAAAAAACAAAGAAUUAUGGAAAAAUUACACAUGGACUAACAUAGAGGAGGAUCUACACAAGUUUUUUACAUCAUGUUUUACAUCAUGCAUCAUUUACAUCAUGUUUUUUUGUAGUGGCAUAAAUAAAAAGUGACAUUUGUGAGACUAUACAGUGUUUUGUAAAUAAUUUUACAAAGAACACCUGGGCCAUUGCCUGCAUUUUGAUGUAAAUAGAGGUAAAUUACUAUGUUCUUUGUUAAAAAUUUGCAUAUGUUUUGAAGUUUACAAUUUUUAUUUGAAGUUUAAGUUUUAAAAACAGUUCAUCACACAUAUUUGUGGUUUUCACAGUAAAAACGUUACUUUUUUCCACUCGGAUUUUAUGUUUUGUGUGUGAAUUUGGGUCCAAUGUGUAAAUAUAGUAUGUCAAAAUGAUAAAAUAACUGUAAAUUGACACAGGUGAGGUUGUGCUGAAAAAAAUGAUACCAGGCAAGGCAAGGUAAAAAUUUUGUAAGAGGAAAUAUAAAGGUAAAAUCUAAAGUAGUCAAAAACGGCCAAUAGUGACUCACAGACUCCACAGACAAGUCCCUUUGGCGCCACUCAGUGGGCAAAACUACUUUGUCUACUGUAAUGUAUAUUUGGGUCAUCUUUGGCGCCCCCUAAAACGUAAACCGUGGGGUGCAGCGUCAUGAUUUUUACAACUUUGAAUGGCCAUGGAGUGUAGAUUGGCCUGAGCAAAUUUGGUGUCAGUGGGACGAAAGCCUUAGGAGGAGUUAGCGAAAUUCCAAUGUGUGCGAAUCGGCAAAAAAUGCAAUAUAGCCCUUUUACCGUACAUUAUACAGAUACGCGCUCUUUGACUUUUUCGUAGAUCUAAUUGAGAUACACAUGAUUGUCAAUUUUUGUGUCAUUUUGCCAAAGCGUUCAGGCGUGACAGUCAACAAUGUGUAUUUUCACCUUAGGGGACAAGAAAAAAUGGACUUUUUUCUCCUGCCAUGGGGGGGCGCUCUUUUAGGGAGUAAAAAUUCCUUCACAAAUGUGUUGAUGGCUGGACAUUGCAUCAUCCUAGAAAACUUGGAGGCCAGUGAGGACAAAAAUAAAAAGUUAUAAGACUUUUAAAAAUGUGGAUUUUUGGGUUAUCUUUGGCGCCCCCUAGAACGUAAACCGUGGGGUGCAGCGUCAUGAUUUGAAUAACUUUUAAUGGCCAUGGGGUGUAGAUUGGCCUGAGCAAAUGUGGUGCCGGUGGAACGAAAGCCUUCGGAGGAGUUAGCGAAAUUCCAAUGUGUGCGGAUCGGCAAAAAAUGCGGAAUAACCCUUUAACCGUACAUUUGACAGAUACGCGCGCUUUGACUUUUUUGUAGAUCUUAUUGAGAUACAUGUGUGUGUCAAUUUUUGUGUCAUUUUGACAAAGCGUACAGGCGUGACACUCAACAAUGUGUAUUUUCACCUUAGGGGACAAGAAAAAAUGGACUUUUUUCUCCUGCCAUGGGGGGGCGCUCUUUUGGGGAGUAAAAAUUCCUCAACAAAUGUGUUGAUGGCUGGACAUUGCAUCAUCCUAGAAAACUUGGAGGCCAGUGAGGGCAAAAAAUAAAAAGUUAUAAGACUUUUAAAUAUGUGGAUUUUAGUGUUAUCUUUGGCGCCCCCUAGAACCUAAACCGUGGGGUGCAGCGUCAUGAUUUGAAUAACUUUUAAUGGCCAUGGGGUGUAGAUUGGCCUGAGCAAAUGUGGUGCCGGUGGAACGAAAGCCUUCGGAGGAGUUAGCGAAAUUCCAAUGUGUGCGGAUCAGCAAAAAAUGCGGAAUAACCCUUUAACCGUACAUUUGACAGAUACGCACGCAUUGACUUUUUCGUAGAUCUUAUUGAGAUACAUGUGUGUGUCAAAUUUUGUGUCAAUAUGACAAAGCGUACAGGCGUGACACUCAACAAUGUGUAUUUUCACCUUAAGGGACAAGAAAAAAUGGACUUUUUUCUCCGGCCAUGGGGGGGCGCUCUUUUGGGGAGUAAAAAUUCCUUCACAAAUGUGUUGAUGGCUGGACAUUGCAUCAUCCUAGAAAACUUGGAGGCCAGUGAGGGCAAAAAUAAAAAGUUAUAAGACUUUGAAAUUUGUGGAUUUUAGGGUUAUCUUUGGCGCCCCCUAGAACCUAAACCGUGGGGUGCAGCGUCAUGAUUUGAAUAAUUUUUAAUGGCCAUGGGGUGUAGAUUGGCCUGAGCAAAUGUGGUGCCGGUGGAAAGAAAGCCUUCGGAGGAGUUAGCGAAAUUCCAAUGUGUGCGGAUCGGCAAAAAAUGCGGAAUAACCCUUUAACCGUACAUUUGACAGAUACGCCCGCACUGACUUUUUUGUAGAUCUUAUUGAGAUACAUAUGUGUGUCAAUUUUUGUGUCAUUUUGACAAAGCAUAAAGGCGUGACAGUCAAUAGUGUGAAUUUUCACCUUAGGGGGCGCUAUGGAGCCAUUUUGCAUUUUCUUGUUUGGGCGACUUCGGAAUAUCAAAUUUUUCACCAGGCCCGGUCAUCCUGCCAAAUUUCAUGAGUUUUCGCCAGUGGGAAGUGGGCCAUUUUCCAGUUCAAAGGGGAGGAAAAAGAAGAAAGAAAGAAACAAAGAAAAACCACUUGGGGAAUAAUAGGGCUCUCGCAGCUGCUUAGCAGCUACGCUCGGGCCCUAACUAGGGCCCCGUUGGGGCACUGGCGGGCCCGAGCCGCGUUGCGCCGCCCCCAGUGCGACCGCCUCCCCCUCCCGAUCGCGUCACACUCAAGGUCCAAAGAUGGUGUGCGCACUUGUCUGUGGUCAUUUCCCAUUAUAAUGAAUGGGAGGCGCAGUUUCUACCAAAACACUCGCUGCAGACAAACUACAUGUCCUAUUUGAAAAAAGUCUGGACCAUGAGUGAGGGCACAAACACAGCUAGGAUAUAUCCAAACGGCAAGUUGCUCCUCGUUACGGUGUUGCCAGGAGAGCGAUGCGAUUGAGCCAUUGAGUGAUGGGCAGGAAAAACUUGACUGUUUCUCCUGCCAUGGGGGAUGGGGGAUGGGGGAUGG
This 16541-nucleotide long non-coding RNA is filed under the name Xyrichtys novacula (pearly razorfish). The record is from RNAcentral. Lineage: Eukaryota; Metazoa; Chordata; Actinopteri; Labriformes; Labridae.